This 312-nucleotide ribosomal RNA is filed under the name Triticum aestivum (bread wheat). RNAcentral's name for it is "partial small subunit ribosomal RNA". The record is from RNAcentral. Lineage: Eukaryota; Viridiplantae; Streptophyta; Magnoliopsida; Poales; Poaceae.
AUGUCAAGAGAAGUUGGUUGUUAUCCUGAUAUCUUCAUUGCUUAUUGCAUCUUAUUUACUAUACCUGUGACUAACAUAUAGGCCAGAAGAAGCUUUUUGAAGUUGAAAUUAUUGAUGAACUAUCUGAGGUCACCAAUGACCCAAGAGAGGUUAUAUAGUUUGGCAACAUUCGGAAUCGAGAAGAAAUUAUUGGAUGAUAUUGACAAUGACCCCAUCAUAAGUGAUUUUGCAUCAAGGAAUGUUAGAAUUAUUAUUAUUAAAGGUAAUAUUUAUAAAGUAUUUGACAUGCAUACUAGUAUUGGAUGCAUUUAA